UUAGAGGUCUUUUUCAACCUUAAUGAUUUUAUGAUUCUAUGAUUAUUUAUUCAUAGUGACUUCCUAAACUGACACCUGAACCAUGUUCUUUCUCCUACUACACGGAGUGACAGAUCCUCUGUGCUCUCUUUCCCUCUCCACCUUAAGCGGAGACGACUCCUGCCCACCUUAAUCUUUUAUAUACUCACUGAAUAAUAACCUUUUUGGUCAUUUACUCAGGAAGGAUUUGUCAUUCCAAUACUUCAUUAAUCCUAUAACAUAAAAUCCAGAAGAUAUGUAUGUGGCUGAGAGGAGGCAUGUAAUUCCUUUGGUGGUAUUCACACUUAAAUAUAACACAGUGUAAGAGCAAAUCAGUUUUGAGGCGAGCUGUCAAAGCCACUCUCUUCCACCACUUUUGGGGAUCACUGUCACCAGGAUGUUAAUUAGGCAUGGGGAGGAGAUGAGGCUAUUCCAGCAGAUCAGAACUCUCUGGGAAACCCUGAACCAAAUCCCUGUGGUGUAAAUGCAGGGAAAUACAGCUUAUUUGUGUAAUUGUGGUCCAUCUUUGUGCCAGUGGCUCCACAUUGGUCAAGGGGCUGCUUUGAAAGUUGCUGGAGAUGCUCUGCCUGAUGCUCAGGGCACUGUCCCUCUUACACGUGGUUUUCUGAGGAAUGUUCCCACUCUUUCAAACACCCGGGGAGAACUGCUUUUGUGGGAUUAUUACAGAACCUCCUGGGGAAAAGACAAAUCAGGCUUUUUAUCUGCUUUUUGGCUUGCCACAAGCGAGUCCCAACUUCCUGCCACUAAAGGCACUUCUGCUUCUCUCUGCUCUGUCAAAGGACUUAAGAUGAUCAAUUUAUAACGUCUACAGAGUGCUAGGAUGAAAAGAUGUUCUGAAAAUGCCUCAGAUGAAAAGAAGCUGUAAAAAAAAACUAAUCUUUACCCUGAUAGACUGAUUACAAUCUAUUGUGCUGUGGAUUAGCGGGUGAGUAUUUAUUCUGCUUAUUUUUUUACUCCUAUGUACAGAUGCUCUGGACCACAAUGACCUCUUUGAAGUCAUUAUUGGCUCUCGCAUCCAUGAGUAGUAUGGAGGGCACAUUAAUAAACUGUAUAUAGAAAAAGACAAUGAAGUCCCCAAGAAGUCAUUAAGAGUCUAUUGUGUCAGUCUGACUGUGGCCCACAAAAGAUACUGAAUAUGUAAGCUAAAAAUAUCCUUCGGAAAUGCUGUUGACACAGUUAUUUUACAUUGGCAGCAACAUCUUCCCCCCACAUACACACGCUCCCCUUGCUAAUCCUGCUCAGAGCAAUCCAUGUUCUGGGAAUCAUCUGUUUUUUUUUUUUCUUGGGAUUCAGAGACCUCCAGAUAGCAGCACUCUGCUGGCACUUUGCAGCUUUGUUAGGGAAAAACAGGAGCGUAUCUUUUAUUCCUGCCCUAUAUCCUCCUAUGUAUGAAGUGCUGCACAAACACCCAACUGAUGACUGCAGUUAUGUCAAAGGGCUGUCAGCUGAAAAGAACAGAGCAUAAAAAUAUGGGAAGGGAGCAGGUAUCCACACUUCUUCUGUCCUUUUGGACCCAGCUGUGCCCCCACCACUCAGCCCCUCAGUUUCCUGUACCCAAGUCCACGAGGGACGCUCAGCCCAGCAGCAGAGGAUUUGACCUCAGAUUUUUCUGGUGACACCAGCACUGACACUCUGCCUCCUCCACGUUGGCAUGGAUGCUUAGAAGAGCUGCUCCCAAAGGAUGACAAAUGAAAUGGGACCAGCCUGUCUGUGAAGGGGAACACUUCCCUCUGCUAACAGCUUGACUGAGAUUCACCCAGUUUGCUUCCUAACCGUUGGAACUGCCCCCACCAGUGAGUAGGUAAGGACGUAGACACAGCCGAUUAACAAGGCUUGGAUGAUGGACCAGCCCUCCAGGAUGCUGUUAUGGGAUGGUACAACAUCAUAAAAUGAAGAUGGUCCUCUUCACUGAGCCCAGCCCUCCUUGUAAGCUGCCAUUGUUGCUGGGUAUCCCUGCAGAGCAUCAUGGACAUCUGUCAGUCUCAAGGUUCCAUUAGCUUUUCUUGGCCUCAGACAAUAAUGCCGUGGAGUUAAUUUCAUUCAUUUAACCAUUGGGAAGGGGGGCAGGGGCUGAAAAAUAGACAGAAAGAAUUUUCUUUUAUUCUGAUGGAUGCCACGCUUGCAUCCCUGAUGCAGUGUCAGCACUCAUGGCAUCUCAAGCUUGGCAAAUAAUCGCUUGCUUCAGUGGUCAAACUGAAGGAAAAUCAGAGAGAGAAAAAAAAAAAGUUCUUCAAGGUUAUUCUACAAAAUAUUUUGACCCAAGACAGAAAAAAAGAUCUUCAUUUAAGGACAUUUACUGCUGUGUUUUUUUUGCUUUAAUUUCUAAUUAGAUUAGCAGAGGAUUAAGAGGCCAAUUUCAAAAAGUGCAGUUUCAGAAGGGAAAGUUGAAGACUUCUGGUGGGAAACAAAUGUGAGAAAAUAUUUUGAUCUCUCUUUUUGUUUCUUAAUUUUAACUUUGUAUUUUUUGCCCUAAGUGAAAUUGUCCACAUGCUGAGUUUGUAUUGGCAGGCAGUUCCACUUUCCCUAGAUGCCGCGUAUCAAUGAAUUAAACAUUUGCACAAAGAACGUUGCCUUCCUCUCCUCUCAUGAUCCUGGUCUUGCUGAGGUGAAAUGCAAGCAAAAAACACUGGAGCAGGUAGCAGAGAAGUGGCUGCUGGAGUAUCAACACCACAUUUUAAGAGGAGAGUUGGAAGAGGAACCAGCAUGGAGCAUCCCUCUUAUUUUAUUUUUGUUUUUCCCAUAGAACUGCUCCCCCUCCAGCUCAAAGGCUGCCUGCCUGGGGCUGCUGCUUGGCACUGUUGUGAGUAGGCAGCAUUGUCCUCUGAGCUCCAGGAAAAUUGGGGGCUGUGUACCCAAAGUAUAACCAUGGGUCACUAGAGGAGGAUACCAGAUGGAAAUCAGAGGGCAGUGCUUAGCAGAUGUGAGAACACUGAAAAUAAGAAACAAAACCCCAUUACCCACAAUCAUUAUCAGCCUCCCUCCUCUUGGAACUAAAAACAGGCUAUUUAGCUCAUUCUAGUAGAACUUUUAUUAAGAAGCUGCUGGAUAUUGGCAUUGAUAACUUGCCAGUAAACCCAGGCAGGGAGCCUUCUGCACCAAAUCCCUUUUAGCAACAAAAUAAAGACAUUGGUGAUCUGUGUAACUCUCCAUUAACCAUGCUUAGUUUGAAAAGAAUAGAUUGUCUCUGUUUUUUGUGAUCUUGUUUGAAAUCUUUGGGCAGGCGUCACUGUAUGAUUAAAUCACCUGCUCCACAAAGAUGCUCUGUAAUUAAUUACGAGGGAAUCCAAAUUCUAAGAUGGGAAGGAAAAAAAUGUAAGAAAAUAACCUAGAGGUGACAAUAAAAAAUUACUUCAGCUGUGGAAUGGCACUGGAGGCAUCCAACUUGCUGUUGUCGUUACACAUCCUGCAGUAUGUUCUGUGGGCACUGGAUGAAUGCCCCUGUUGGUCAUUGUUGGCUAACGAGAAGAGAAGUGAUGACAGGGCAGCACUGAUAGCACCAUACCACCACUGAAAUGGAGGCUCUUCUGGGCACUAAUGUGAUGGAUAUUUGUGGAGAACUCUAUAUGCAAAUGAUAGAAAGCAGAGAGUAGGAGAGAAGCAGAGAGGAUCUCAAAAGCCAGAUAAUCCUUGCCAAAACCUGACAUUUCCUGUGGCAGAUGUCAUUUUAGACAUGAACAGUGAAUUAUUGCACCUUGACUAAAGAAUCCAACUUCUGAUGGCUUUCACUUGUUUUAUCCAGUCACAGCACUCUUCCUUUGAUAGGUACGGCAAAUUCCUUUCAUUGAAUCAGGAACAAGAGGUUUUUGCUGUGUUUGAGUGAGCAAAAACCCAAAUGAUUCUCUUCCUAAUUAGCCUAAUGAGCCUUUUGGCUCUCACAUGAUGACAAGUAAAUGAAUUUGCCCUUUCCUUGACAAGUUCUUAUGGGAAUGAUCCGAAGCCUUUUGUAACAAUGCAUCAAAAGUACAAAGUCAUUAAAAACAGUUGUCCAACUAUGAAAUUAGUUAUUGAUUAAUAUUGCUUCCAGACAGCCAUAUUGUUCAUUCAAAAAGAAAAAAAAAAGUAAAAAAAAAAAGGUAGAAAUGAAUCUCAAUGUUCAUAUUUCUUCAUGAAAGUAAUUUAUUGAGGUACACAAAACAUCUGAGAUCCUGAGGUCAUAUCUGUCAGUAUUCUACACUCACUUUUCUCAUUUGGAGCUCAACAGGGGUCUUGCACUGAGAAGAAGUGGUUGAUUGAUUACCAUAAAUAUCUUGACUAAUUCCAGCUUGAUAUCCCCAUUCCCAGGUGCAGAGAUCAGCUUCUUCUGGAAGAAAUGUAUCUAAAAUGAGCAGAAGUGCUCUCCUGUGUAUCACGGGGACGUUGUCAUCUCCCAGGCUGUGAUAUGUGGCUAAAAAAAGAACAGAGGGCUCCUAAAGUAGCCGAAAAGUGCAUGAUCUGUGAGUAGAGCCAGGAGACAACUGAGUCAUCUCAAGUGCUACAGAGGGCCAAAAGAGUGGUAUUGGAGUGAAUAUGAGUGCAGAGCAGGCUGUGAGCAACGGCCCCAUCUCCAUGAUUUCCAUAGUCAAGCAGAUAGUACAAGAGAUGUGUGCUUGUGCAUUUGUAUCAUUCAGACUCCAUGUUUUCAGAUUCUUUGAACGGAGAACAAGAAAAAUGAUGGAGGAAAAGGAUCAGUGAGAAAACACUUGGAAUCACACCAGCGAGAAAGCCCCUGCUUUGCUAACACUGUGGUGGUUGGCAGUGGGAAAUAACUAACCUCCUACCACAGUGAUAGCUGAUAGUUAUAGCAUGCUUAAAACAGUCAUGUAUUUUGUAUCCCACUCUCUUCCACAGAAGUCACGUUUGCCAGAAACUUAAAAAAAGAUUCAAGUAUGGUUCAUGUUUCAUUUUGCUCUGAGGUAAUUGCCAGUCAGCAGCCAUUUGUGGUCUAAGAUGACUGGAAGUUUUAAAGCAGAAUGUGGGCUUUUCCCACUUAUCUACUUACCAAAACCAACAUCUACUGGGGAAAAAAAAAUCAACACAAUAAACAACAGAACAAAACAGUAUCUCAGAGGAGUCUGGCACACAAAUGACACAGUUAAAAUGUUGCUCCACUAUUACAAUUGCUUCAGAAUGAUUACUAUCCUUCUAUUUCAUCCUCAGCUGAUUAGUCCCUAGGCUCAAUUGCUUUCAAAUGAAUAAAACACCAUCUAUUUGUGUUUUUCCUUCUGUGAGGGAAAAAAAAAAAAAAAAUCUACUUAUUGUGAUAAAGAGAUUGGUUUUAUCUGUGUGGACUUUUGUUCUAAGGAAUGCAAUAAUUUUGCUGGUACUGAAAUUCCGAUUUUGAGUGUUUUUAAUUAGACUAUUGUCUACUCUGUUGAUUUGAGAAAUGGUUUGCAUAACUGACCCAAACACCUCCGGAAGCUUAAACUGAAUUUUGGAAAGCAUUACUGAAUAUUUUUCCUGUCUUCCUCCUCGCUGGACAGAAAAAGCUGAAAAGCCCCAAGCACAGUCGGAUACGCAAACCCACAAGAAUACUAGCAGCUAUGCGUUUCCCAUCACCAGUUGUUCAGGAAAUGCUGUACUUCAAAGAUAUCAGGUCAUUGCCCUUUUUCAAUACAAGGCGUUGAGAUAUAGUUUUGAAAAAUUUUCAGUUGUCAUCCAAGAUGAAUCUUAUCACGUUUACCCAUUAUUUCGAAUCAGAUCUGAAACAUGACAGGCAUAAUUUGGAUUGAGAUAUUUGGCAUUUCCCAAACCCCUGCCAUAUGUCACUCAAAGCCAUUGAUGGGCACUUCAAAGAAAACCAGCAUGCAGUUUUGAGCAGUUCUUUGCAAGUUUCUUUGUAGCAAAAUUUCCUACUUGGAAGCCCUCUAGUUAAGCUUGCAUUUCUGAUAAAUUUCCAUGCAUUAUUAACCUAAUUGGACCCAACAUAUAUUCUAAGAUUCUCAUUAAUAUUUUUAACAUGUUAUGGCAUCUUUAUCCUUGAGCAGUCAACCAAGUUUUCAUCUUCAUAAAAAUGGGUUCCUCAUAAUCGGACAAUCCAAUCAUUUCCAGUCCAUAAGGUAAAUUUCCUCUAUAUUCUUUGAUUUUGCAGGAUUUUUUUUUUUAACCAAUCAGCAUAAUACAUUUCACCCUAUGGUUUAUUUCUCCGUAAACCUUGCCACAAUUGCUGGAAGCUUCUAACUGGAAAGGAUGCCAACUUGAGCUGGAGGACACAUCUAAGAGAUGACCUCAGGCCAACUGAAAGAAGGUAGAGCAUUUUAGGAGGACCGUUCCAUUUAUUCUUGCAAUUUAGACGCUUCACUGACUUCUGAUCAUCUUCAGAAUGGAUAAAAUGCCAAUGGACCGUACUGAAUGGUAAAUAAAUGGUACUACAGCCCACUGACUGUUAGUCGUUCGUUAAUAUAUCUGCAUAGGGAUAACACUGUGGAGACUAAAUCCUGAAUAAAACUGUCUGAGGUGAUACAAAAACGAACAUGAAAAGGAUGACCCUAAGCUAAAAAGAUUACUUGUGUUUGUUUGGCUCGAUGGCUGUAAUAGCAGCAGUAUUCAGCUGGAACAAUUAUUGGGUAGAAAAGAAGGGUUUUUUUUUGUAUAAGUUCAGAAUGCUUUCACUGUUAUUAUCUAAAAUUGAACUAUGUAUAUUAUUUUAAAUGGGUAAAUUUUUGUUUUGUAUCCAUGAAAUUGCUACCACAUUAACAAGAUUUUCCAGGCAUUAAUGGAUUGAUUUCUGUUAAAUUGUAACUAUAUUAAUUCAUCCCAAUUACCUCUAAGUAAAAUUUAAAUUAAGUUAAAUUGAAGAAAUUAAAAAUGUUUGAAAACCCUG
This is a long non-coding RNA of Gallus gallus (chicken), 6838 nucleotides long. RefSeq lists it as uncharacterized. The transcript is spliced from 2 exons. NCBI's taxonomy places the organism in Eukaryota, Metazoa, Chordata, Aves, Galliformes, Phasianidae. The record is from RefSeq and is a predicted model, not a curated record.